GCCGGGAUAGCUCCAAUCGUAGAGCACCUGAUUUGUAAUCAGAAAGUUGCGGGUUCAAGUCCCGUUCCCGGCCCCA
RNAcentral lists this transfer RNA (76 nucleotides) under Bilophila sp. RNAcentral describes it as "tRNA-Thr". It matches the Rfam family "tRNA". Rfam says of the family: Transfer RNA (tRNA) molecules are approximately 80 nucleotides in length. Their secondary structure includes four short double-helical elements and three loops (D, anti-codon, and T loops). Further hydrogen bonds mediate the characteristic L-shaped molecular structure. tRNAs have two regions of fundamental functional importance: the anti-codon, which is responsible for specific mRNA codon recognition, and the 3' end, to which the tRNAs corresponding amino acid is attached (by aminoacyl-tRNA synthetases). tRNAs cope with the degeneracy of the genetic code in two manners: having more than one tRNA (with a specific anti-codon) for a particular amino acid; and 'wobble' base-pairing, i.e. permitting non-standard base-pairing at the 3rd anti-codon position. Lineage: Bacteria; Pseudomonadati; Thermodesulfobacteriota; Desulfovibrionia; Desulfovibrionales; Desulfovibrionaceae. The record is from RNAcentral.